This 429-nucleotide ribosomal RNA is filed under the name Bacteroidota bacterium. Its description in RNAcentral is "Bacteroidetes bacterium partial 16S ribosomal RNA". It matches the Rfam family "Bacterial small subunit ribosomal RNA", at positions 355 to 776 of the family's 1533-position model. The record is from RNAcentral. Lineage: Bacteria; Pseudomonadati; Bacteroidota.
UAGGGAAUCUUCCGCAAUGGACGCAAGUCUGACGGAGCAACGCCGCGUGAGUGAAGAAGGAUUUCGGUUCGUAAAACUCUGUUGUUAGAGAAGAACAGCGCAUAGAGUAACUGUUAUGCGUGUGACGGUAUCUAACCAGAAAGCCACGGCUAACUACGUGCCAGCAGCCGCGGUAAUACGUAGGUGGCAAGCGUUGUCCGGAUUUAUUGGGCGUAAAGCGAGCGCAGGCGGUCAAUUAAGUCUGAUGUGAAAGCCCCCGGCUCAACCGGGGAGGGUCAUUGGAAACUGUUUAACUUGGGUGCAGAAGGGGAGAGUGGAAUUCCAUGUGUAGCGGUGAAAUGCGUAGAUAUAUGGAGGAACACCAGUGGCGAAGGCGACUCUCUGGUCUGUAACUGACGCUGAGGCUCGAAAGCGUGGGUAGCAAACAGG